UCUAGCAUGAAGUCAGACAAGUGAA
This 25-nucleotide ribosomal RNA is filed under the name Symbiodinium sp. Lp5. RNAcentral's name for it is "partial 24S ribosomal RNA". Lineage: Eukaryota; Dinophyceae; Suessiales; Symbiodiniaceae. The record is from RNAcentral. RNAcentral also lists the same sequence under 4 other names.